UACGGAGGGUGCAAGCGUUAUCCGGAUUCACUGGGUUUAAAGGGUGCGUAGGUGGGCUAGUAAGUCCGUGGUGAAAUCUCUGAGCUUAACUCGGAAACUGCCGUGGAUACUAUUAGUCUUGAAUCUCGUGGAGGUAAGCGGAAUAUGUCAUGUAGCGGUGAAAUGCUUAGAUAUGACAUAGAACACCGAUAGCGAAGGCAGCUUGCUACACGAGUAUUGACACUGAGGCACGAAAGCGUGGGGAUCAAACAGG
This 253-nucleotide ribosomal RNA is filed under the name uncultured bacterium. Its description in RNAcentral is "partial 16S ribosomal RNA". It matches the Rfam family "Bacterial small subunit ribosomal RNA", at positions 524 to 776 of the family's 1533-position model. The record is from RNAcentral. RNAcentral also lists the same sequence under 1 other name.